CCUUCUGCUCACCGUCCCUUUUCCUCCGGGCUUAAUGCGCGUCUCGUCACAGCUCUGUCAGCUGACGCAGCCUGGGAAUUUCCCCCGUGUAGUGAAACGGGCUUUAGGUUUAGUGCUCUCCGUCUCUGCUGCAUGAGAUCACUCUUUUGCAGCACUGUUGACAUCCUCAAGUUGUUGUUGUGAGUCCAGCUGCUGUGGCCUUCAGGGGUCAAAGGGUCAAAGAUGGUCGCGGAGAGGGCAACGAUGGUAGAGGGGAGGGUAGGAGUCCAGGUCAGCUUCGGCUCUCAGAAAAAACAAAAACAAAACAAAACAGGCGAACAGGAAAAUGAUGUUGUGUUGGCUGUGCUGUGUUGGCUGUGUUAUCCCGAGAGGGGAGAAACAACGAGAUCUCGUCUCCCCCUUUUUUUUUUUUUUUUUUUUUUUUUUUUUUUUUUUUCCAUAUAAUCAACUCAUAACCCCUCAAGUUGACAGGACAACACAGGUACGUGUUAAAAUUCUUAAGAUCCUGUUUAGAAACCUAAAAAGGAAUUUCCUAUCAUUCAGUAGUCAUUUGUCUUAAACAAUCAACAAAAACAUGUCCCAAGUCGACCCUUUUAACCACUAAAUUUGUCGUGUCCUCACUUAAUCCUCAGACCAGUGUCUUUGUCUUUUGACGUUACGUUGUUGUCCUGCAACCCAAAGCGUUUAAUUGUCAGUAAUGUAUGAACUAUAUCAUUUAAAAACAGGUGUAUGUUAAGUGUCGCUACUUUAACCUUGCAUGUACGUGCACAUGUAUGUAAGCUGUUUCUUCAUUGCAUGUAUGGGUGCGUCUGUAUAUGGGUUACUUUAACUUUUUCUCAAACGAGGCAUGUCUCUAACACGCACAUGUGUCUGUUCCUCACCCUUCUCAUAUCUUUCUCUGGUUGUGUGUGGUUUUAUUUGUUUCAGUGAUUUACCAGGAACAUCUUUUCCUUUUCUCCAUGUCUUCCGCCAGAGGUUAACACCGGUGAGAUUCAGGGACACAGCACCCAGAGCGGUUCAGCAAGAAAAACCCGCCUCAAACUACAUUCUCUCUUUUUUGUUUUACCGGGAGGGGUGAGGACAACUCUGGUGUCCAGCCGUGAAUUUUAGCCAAAGCUUGGCCUGUCUUCUGCUGCCGUACUCAGGCUUCCAGGUUAAGAAAAAACACCUGUAUGAAGACACUAAACAUACAUUUAGUAUUUGUAUAAAC
Astatotilapia calliptera (eastern happy) is the source of this 1210-nucleotide long non-coding RNA. The record is from Ensembl. NCBI's taxonomy places the organism in Eukaryota, Metazoa, Chordata, Actinopteri, Cichliformes, Cichlidae.